GUGGGGAAUUUUGGACAAUGGGGGAAACCCUGAUCCAGCCAUCCCGCGUGUGCGAUGAAGGCCUUCGGGUUGUAAAGCACUUUUGUCAGGGAAGAAAAGGUUCUGGCUAAUAUCCGGAACUGAUGACGGUACCUGAAGAAUAAGCACCGGCUAACUACGUGCCAGCAGCCGCGGUAAUACGUAGGGUGCAAGCGUUAAUCGGAAUUACUGGGCGUAAAGCGUGCGCAGGCGGUUCGGAAAGAAAGAUGUGAAAUCCCAGGGCUCAACCUUGGAACUGCAUUUUUAACUCCCGGACUAGAGUAUGUCAGAGGGGGGUGGAAUUCCACGUGUAGCAGUGAAAUGCGUAGAUAUGUGGAGGAACACCGAUGGCGAAGGCAGCCCCCUGGGAUAAUACUGACGCUCAUGCACGAAAGCGUGGGGAGCAAACAGGAUUAGAAACCCUAGUAGUCC
This 450-nucleotide ribosomal RNA is filed under the name uncultured bacterium. Its description in RNAcentral is "bacterial SSU rRNA". It matches the Rfam family "Bacterial small subunit ribosomal RNA", at positions 354 to 796 of the family's 1533-position model. The record is from RNAcentral.